GACGAACGCUGGCGGCGUGCUUAACACAUGCAAGUCGAACGGAAAGGCCCUGCUUUUGUGGGUUGCUCGAGUGGCGAUCGGGUGAGUAACACGUGAGUAACCUGCCCUUUACUUUGGGAUAACUUCAGGAAACUUGGGCUAAUACCGGAUAGGAGCUCCUGCUGCAUGGUGGGGGUUGGAAAGUUUCGGCGGUUGGGGAUGGACUCGCGGCUUAUCAGCUUGUUGGUGGGGUAGUGGCUUACCAAGGCUUUGACGGGUAGCCGGCCUGUGAGGGUGACCGGCCAAAUUGGGACUGAGAUACGGCCCAGACGACUACGGGAGGCAGCAGUGGGGAAUAUUGCACAAUGGGCGGAAGCCUGAUGAAGCAACGCCGCGUGCGGGAUGACGGCCUUCGGGUUGUAAACCGAUUUCGCCUGUGACGAAGAGUGAGUGACGGUAAUGGGUAAAGAAGCACCGGCUAACUACGUG
RNAcentral lists this ribosomal RNA (468 nucleotides) under uncultured bacterium. RNAcentral's name for it is "partial 16S ribosomal RNA". It matches the Rfam family "Bacterial small subunit ribosomal RNA", at positions 28 to 507 of the family's 1533-position model. The record is from RNAcentral.